AUUUAAAUAGUUUAAGAAAAAUAUUGAUUUGUGAUAUCAAAGAUAUAAGUAGUUAUUUUAAAUA
RNAcentral lists this transfer RNA (64 nucleotides) under Onthophagus cf. tragus. Its description in RNAcentral is "tRNA-His". The record is from RNAcentral. Lineage: Eukaryota; Metazoa; Arthropoda; Insecta; Coleoptera; Scarabaeidae.